This 75-nucleotide transfer RNA is filed under the name bacterium. Its description in RNAcentral is "tRNA-Gly". It matches the Rfam family "tRNA". Rfam says of the family: Transfer RNA (tRNA) molecules are approximately 80 nucleotides in length. Their secondary structure includes four short double-helical elements and three loops (D, anti-codon, and T loops). Further hydrogen bonds mediate the characteristic L-shaped molecular structure. tRNAs have two regions of fundamental functional importance: the anti-codon, which is responsible for specific mRNA codon recognition, and the 3' end, to which the tRNAs corresponding amino acid is attached (by aminoacyl-tRNA synthetases). tRNAs cope with the degeneracy of the genetic code in two manners: having more than one tRNA (with a specific anti-codon) for a particular amino acid; and 'wobble' base-pairing, i.e. permitting non-standard base-pairing at the 3rd anti-codon position. The record is from RNAcentral. RNAcentral also lists the same sequence under 3 other names.
GCGGGAAUAGCUCAGUGGUAGAGCAUCGCCUUGCCAAGGCGAGGGUCGCGGGUUCGAAUCCCGUUUCCCGCUCCA